CUACGGGUUGCAGCAGUGAGGAAUAUUGCACAAUGGAGGAAACUCUGAUGCAGCAACGCCGCGUGGAGGAUGACGCAUUUCGGUGUGUAAACUCCUUUUAUAUGUCAAGAAAAUGACGGUAGCAUAUGAAUAAGCACCGGCUAACUCCGUGCCAGCAGCCGCGGUAAUACGGAGGGUGCAAGCGUUACUCGGAAUCACUGGGCGGAAAGGACGCGUAGGCGGGAUAUCAAGUCAGGUGUGAAAUCCUACAGCUUAACUGUAGAACUGCACUUGAAACUGGUAACCUAGAGUAUGGGAGGGGGAGAUGGAAUUAGUGGUGUAGGGGUAAAAUCCGUAGAUAUCACUAGGAAUACCUAAAGCGAAGGCGAUCUCCUGGAACAUAACUGACGCUAAGGCGUGAAAGCGUAGGGAGCAAACAGGAUUAGAUACCCCCGUAGUC
This 439-nucleotide ribosomal RNA is filed under the name uncultured bacterium. RNAcentral describes it as "partial 16S ribosomal RNA". It matches the Rfam family "Bacterial small subunit ribosomal RNA", at positions 339 to 795 of the family's 1533-position model. The record is from RNAcentral.